Long non-coding RNA from Magnolia sinica, 508 nucleotides. RefSeq lists it as uncharacterized. The record is from RefSeq and is a predicted model, not a curated record. NCBI's taxonomy places the organism in Eukaryota, Viridiplantae, Streptophyta, Magnoliopsida, Magnoliales, Magnoliaceae. The transcript has 3 exons.
UAUCGGUUCUGACUUGGUAAUGACUGGAUCUGUUCUACUUGUGUGUGGAAAUGAUGUGAGAGUCAAAUGGGUUUUGGAUAUCUUGGAUUAGAUGUUCUGCAUUACAGGUUUCGAGGAUGGACUCUGGCUGGUCAAGGUCAGAGGAGAAGCCAUGUAGGGGGGCAUCUAAACUGGCUCACUGGGAAGUUGCAGAUGCUGCUAACAGUACUUGGUUGGUGUCAUAGAACUAGAUUCAGAAAAGGUCCAGCUGCUAUGUGAUGCACCUAAUGAAGAAGUAGAUGAGAAAAAUAAAGAUCAAAUUGCAAACUUCCUCUGUCCAGGUAACUAUGUUGUUUCUGGAGGUGUGAAAGCAGUGGAAGGUAAGGCAAAGUCAUUUAAGGCUCGAAUGAUGGUUAAUUACUCUUAGAUUAUUAAUUACCAUUUUUCCAUAAUUUGAUAAAAGCUUCAUGCAUUAUGCUUUACCAUAUUUUUGCAUACUUAGCUUGUAUUUCUCUUAAAAGACUAAUGU